Molecule: transfer RNA, 74 nt
Filed under: Candidatus Roizmanbacteria bacterium RIFCSPHIGHO2_12_41_18
Lineage: Bacteria; Candidatus Roizmaniibacteriota
Also listed under: 1 other name
Description: tRNA-Trp
Rfam family: tRNA
About the family: Transfer RNA (tRNA) molecules are approximately 80 nucleotides in length. Their secondary structure includes four short double-helical elements and three loops (D, anti-codon, and T loops). Further hydrogen bonds mediate the characteristic L-shaped molecular structure. tRNAs have two regions of fundamental functional importance: the anti-codon, which is responsible for specific mRNA codon recognition, and the 3' end, to which the tRNAs corresponding amino acid is attached (by aminoacyl-tRNA synthetases). tRNAs cope with the degeneracy of the genetic code in two manners: having more than one tRNA (with a specific anti-codon) for a particular amino acid; and 'wobble' base-pairing, i.e. permitting non-standard base-pairing at the 3rd anti-codon position.
Source: RNAcentral
GGGGGUGUCGUUCAGUGGUAGGACUUCGGUCUCCAAAACCGAAAACGGGAGUUCGAUUCUCUCCACCCCUGCCG